This is a long non-coding RNA of Homo sapiens (human), 1104 nucleotides long. RefSeq lists it as uncharacterized. NCBI's taxonomy places the organism in Eukaryota, Metazoa, Chordata, Mammalia, Primates, Hominidae. The record is from RefSeq and is a predicted model, not a curated record. The transcript has 2 exons.
UCCUCUCACUCAGAGAAGCUGAGGUCAGGUGGGUGGGGCAAGGUGAGCCCCUGGCACCAGCUCUUCCCUGCAGGGUGUGCAGGACCUUUGUGGAAGCCACAGAUUUGGCUGUUUUAAGAACAAAGAGCUGGCUUUUUAAUUAUGCAGCCCAGACAGGCUCCCCGCAGGUGGGUGGAGAGGGAGCUCCCCAGGGCUGCCUAGCAGACGCCCUGAUUUCCACUCCUUGAAGUGGCCACUUGGAGAAGGAACCAGCAAGCAAUCAAGCAUGAAGGACAGAAAAACUCUCCAGGAAACCACGUGCCCCUGUCUAGUUCCAUGGAUUUCAUGGGGCAGGAGGAAGUUGGGAUGUAGGGGAAGUUCUGGCAGACAGGACGAGGAGGCAGACAGAUCACCUCUUCAGGACCGCAGGGGAUUGUCAGCAAGAGAAAAAGGGAGACAAAUUCAGGGGGGCGCUGGGAGGCCAGGUGGGCGUGUCUUCACCUUCCCUCUUACGGGUGAGGAUGUUGUAGAGAUGCCCAGUUGAAAAGGCCCCUGGGAGCCCUGGAAGAUGGUGGCGCAUAAACCUCGAAGAGAGGCAUCCACAGCCCUCCCUGAACCAGGUGAGUGUGCAGAGUUCAAAAGUCUCCAUGGGCGUUCAGGAACACGUACAGAGGCUGCAGUCAGGAGGAGGAGGCUGCUUCGAGCCUGGACAUUUGCAACUGGAGUGAUGGGGGCAGGGGUCACCCUUCGCCUAGAAAAGCCCAGGCACAGCCCCACAGUCACCUGUCCAGGAAGCAGCCCAGGCCAGCCCCUCUGCAGCAGAGACCUGUGAGAACCCAGAAGAUGCCGUGUGGCCUGAGCCCAGCUCCCCUGCACCAGGCUACAGAUAUCUGCUCAGGGGUGCCUGCGGGUGCUUCUUACAGGGAGCAGCCCAGGAAGAUGCCUCAAUGACUAAGGGUCUAUCUACAAGACCCAGAGUCACCCAAAAGACUCUGGUCAAACCAGAAGAGGCUGCAAUGCCAUCAAUCCACAAAUUCAGGGUUUUUAUUCCUCUCCCCCCUCACACCCAGUGAGGCAGGGACUCUGGACAGUUAUAUGAAAUAAAAUGCUAUUUUUUCCUUUAUG